UGCGUAGGCGGUAUGCUAAGUCAAUCGUUAAAUUCUCCGGCCUAACCGGAGGCAAGCGGUAGAUACUGGCGUACUUGAGGGUGGAAGAGAGAAGUGGAAUUCUCGGAGUAGCGGUAAAAUGCGUAGAUCUCGAGAGGAACACCAAUGGCGAAGGCAGCUUCUUGGUCCACAUCUGACGCUGAGGCACGAAAGCGUGGGGAGCAAACA
This 207-nucleotide ribosomal RNA is filed under the name uncultured bacterium. RNAcentral's name for it is "partial 16S ribosomal RNA". It matches the Rfam family "Bacterial small subunit ribosomal RNA", at positions 568 to 774 of the family's 1533-position model. The record is from RNAcentral.